Molecule: ribosomal RNA, 453 nt
Filed under: uncultured Bacteroides sp.
Lineage: Bacteria; Pseudomonadati; Bacteroidota; Bacteroidia; Bacteroidales; Bacteroidaceae
Description: partial 16S ribosomal RNA
Rfam family: Bacterial small subunit ribosomal RNA
Source: RNAcentral
ACGGAAGGCAGCAGUGAGGAAUAUUGGUCAAUGGAGGCAACUCUGAACCAGCCAUCUCGCGUGAAGGAAUACGGCCCUAUGGGUCUUAAACUUCUUUUAUAGGGGGAUAAAGUGAGGCAUGCAUGCCUUUUUGUAGGUACCCUAUGAAUAAGCAUCGGCUAACUCCGUGCCAGCAGCCGCGGUAAUACGGAGGAUGCGAGCGUUAUCCGGAUUUAUUGGGUUUAAAGGGAGCGUAGGCGGGCCUUUAAGUCAGUGGUCAAAGCGUGUGGCUCAACCAUACCACGCCGUUGAUACUGGAGGCCUUGAGUGCACAUAAGGAUGGUGGAAUUCAUGGUGUAGCGGUGAAAUGCUUAGAUAUCAUGAAGAACUCCGAUUGCGAAGGCAGCUGUCCGGGGUGUAACUGACGCUAAUGCUCGAAAGUGCGGGUAUCAAACAGGAUUAGAUACCCUGGUA